CCGGCGAGGGUGCACGAAGUCAUAGAAAGGAGGGGAAGGAAGAGAGAAAAGAGGAGAAGGGCUUACCUCCGACUCCGGUGAGGUCUCUAACGAGUAUUUGAGAUGAACAUGAUGAGGACAUCCGUAGCUUCAACGAAAAAAUUCGAGAAAAAUAAAAGGAGAAAUUCGGUGCUCGUCGUGGCCAACCUUAGAGGAAAGGAGAGGGGGUUUUUAUAGGGAGGGGAGGUCGAAUCCCCCUUGAAUUCAGCUUCUCUUCCGAUGUAUUUGAGUGGAAGAAGACUCC
This 283-nucleotide long non-coding RNA is filed under the name Elaeis guineensis (African oil palm). Its description in RNAcentral is "long non-coding RNA (EGUI_LNC016559)". The record is from RNAcentral. Lineage: Eukaryota; Viridiplantae; Streptophyta; Magnoliopsida; Arecales; Arecaceae.